AUACUUACCUGGCAGGGGAGACACCAUGAUCACGAAGGUGGUUUUCCCAGGGCGAGGCUCAUCCAUUGCACUGCGGGUGUGCUGACCCCUGCGAUUUCCCCAAAUGCGGGAAACUCGACUGCAUAAUUUGUGGUAGUGGGGGACUGCGUUCGCGCUCUCCCGUG
Molecule: small nuclear RNA, 164 nt
Filed under: Chelonia mydas (Green sea turtle)
Lineage: Eukaryota; Metazoa; Chordata; Testudines; Cheloniidae
Description: U1 spliceosomal RNA
Rfam family: U1 spliceosomal RNA
About the family: U1 is a small nuclear RNA (snRNA) component of the spliceosome (involved in pre-mRNA splicing). Its 5' end forms complementary base pairs with the 5' splice junction, thus defining the 5' donor site of an intron.
Source: Rfam by way of RNAcentral